This 74-nucleotide transfer RNA is filed under the name Bacteroidales bacterium. RNAcentral's name for it is "tRNA-Arg". It matches the Rfam family "tRNA". From Rfam's summary of the family: Transfer RNA (tRNA) molecules are approximately 80 nucleotides in length. Their secondary structure includes four short double-helical elements and three loops (D, anti-codon, and T loops). Further hydrogen bonds mediate the characteristic L-shaped molecular structure. tRNAs have two regions of fundamental functional importance: the anti-codon, which is responsible for specific mRNA codon recognition, and the 3' end, to which the tRNAs corresponding amino acid is attached (by aminoacyl-tRNA synthetases). tRNAs cope with the degeneracy of the genetic code in two manners: having more than one tRNA (with a specific anti-codon) for a particular amino acid; and 'wobble' base-pairing, i.e. permitting non-standard base-pairing at the 3rd anti-codon position. Lineage: Bacteria; Pseudomonadati; Bacteroidota; Bacteroidia; Bacteroidales. The record is from RNAcentral. RNAcentral also lists the same sequence under 1 other name.
GGCCCCGUAGCUCAGCUGGAUAGAGCAACUGCCUUCUAAGCAGUAGGUCCUGCGUUCGAAUCGCAGCAGGGUCA